GACGAACGCUGGCGGCGUGCCUAAUACAUGCAAGUAGAACGCACAGUUUAUACCGUAGCUUGCUACACCAUAAACUGUGAGUUGCGAACGGGUGAGUAACGCGUAGGUAACCUGCCUGGUAGCGGGGGAUAACUAUUGGAAACGAUAGCUAAUACCGCAUAAUAUUGAUUAUUGCAUGAUAAUUGAUUGAAAGAUGCUAUUGCAUCACUACCAGAUGGACCUGCGUUGUAUUAGCUAGUAGGUGAGGUAACGGCUCACCUAGGCGACGAUACAUAGCCGACCUGAGAGGGUGAUCGGCCACACUGGGAUUGAGACACGGCCCAGACUCCUACGGGAGGCAGCAGUAGGGAAUCUUCGGAAAUGGACGAAAGUCUGACCGAGCAACGCCGCGUGAGUGAAGAAGGUUUUCGGAUCGUAAAGCUCUGUUGUAAGAGAAGAACGGGUGUGAGAGUGGAAAGUUCACACUGUGACGGUAUCUUACCAGAAAGGGACGGCUAACUACGUG
RNAcentral lists this ribosomal RNA (505 nucleotides) under uncultured bacterium. RNAcentral's name for it is "partial 16S ribosomal RNA". It matches the Rfam family "Bacterial small subunit ribosomal RNA", at positions 28 to 507 of the family's 1533-position model. The record is from RNAcentral.